This 87-nucleotide transfer RNA is filed under the name Dehalococcoidia bacterium. RNAcentral describes it as "tRNA-Leu". It matches the Rfam family "tRNA". From Rfam's summary of the family: Transfer RNA (tRNA) molecules are approximately 80 nucleotides in length. Their secondary structure includes four short double-helical elements and three loops (D, anti-codon, and T loops). Further hydrogen bonds mediate the characteristic L-shaped molecular structure. tRNAs have two regions of fundamental functional importance: the anti-codon, which is responsible for specific mRNA codon recognition, and the 3' end, to which the tRNAs corresponding amino acid is attached (by aminoacyl-tRNA synthetases). tRNAs cope with the degeneracy of the genetic code in two manners: having more than one tRNA (with a specific anti-codon) for a particular amino acid; and 'wobble' base-pairing, i.e. permitting non-standard base-pairing at the 3rd anti-codon position. Lineage: Bacteria; Bacillati; Chloroflexota; Dehalococcoidia. The record is from RNAcentral.
GCCGGGGUGGCGGAAUUGGCAUACGCAGCGGACUUAAAAUCCGUCGGCCGCAAGGCCUUGUGGGUUCGACCCCCACCCCCGGUACCA